GACGAACGCUGGCGGCGGGCUUAACACAUGCAAGUCGAACGGAAAGGCCCUGCUUGUGUGGGGUUCUCGAGUGGCGAACGGGUGAGUAACACGUGAGUAACCUGCCCUGGACUUUGGGAUAACUUCAGGAAACUGGGACUAAUACCGGAUAGGAGCUCCUGCUGCAUGGGGGGGGUUGGAACGUUUAGGCGGUUGGGGAUGGACGCGCGGCUUAUCAGCUUGUUGGUUGGGGAGUGGCUUACCAAGGCUUUGACGGGUAGCCGGCAUGAGAGGGUGAACGGCGACAUUGGGACUGAGAUAGGGCGCAGACUCCUACGGGAGGCAGCAGUGGGGAAUAUGGCACAAUGGGCCGAAGUGUGAUGCAGAAACGCCGCGUGCGGGAUGCCGGUCUUCGGGUUGUAAACCGCAUUAGGCUGUGACGAAGCGUGAGUGACGGUAAUGGGUAAAGAAGCACCGGCUAACUACGUG
RNAcentral lists this ribosomal RNA (468 nucleotides) under uncultured bacterium. RNAcentral describes it as "partial 16S ribosomal RNA". It matches the Rfam family "Bacterial small subunit ribosomal RNA", at positions 28 to 507 of the family's 1533-position model. The record is from RNAcentral.